GGGGCCUUAGCUCAGCUGGUCAGAGCAGGGGACUCAUAAUCCCUUGGUCGCGGGUUCAAGCCCCGCAGGCCCUA
This 74-nucleotide transfer RNA is filed under the name Rothia nasimurium. RNAcentral describes it as "tRNA-Ile". It matches the Rfam family "tRNA". Rfam says of the family: Transfer RNA (tRNA) molecules are approximately 80 nucleotides in length. Lineage: Bacteria; Bacillati; Actinomycetota; Actinomycetes; Micrococcales; Micrococcaceae. RNAcentral also lists the same sequence under 6 other names. The record is from RNAcentral.